GUGGGGAAUCUUGCGCAAUGGGCGAAAGCCUGACGCAGCCAUGCCGCGUGAAUGAUGAAGGUCUUAGGAUUGUAAAAUUCUUUCACCGGGGACGAUAAUGACGGUACCCGGAGAAGAAGCCCCGGCUAACUUCGUGCCAGCAGCCGCGGUAAUACGAAGGGGGCUAGCGUUGCUCGGAAUUACUGGGCGUAAAGGGCGCGUAGGCGGACAGUUUAGUCAGAGGUGAAAGCCCAGGGCUCAACCUUGGAAUUGCCUUUGAUACUGGCUGUCUGGAGUACGGGAGAGGUGAGUGGAACUCCGAGUGUAGAGGUGAAAUUCGUAGAUAUUCGGAAGAACACCAGUGGCGAAGGCGACUCACUGGCCCGUUACUGACGCUGAGGCGCGAGAGCGUGGGGAGCAAACAGGAUUAGAUACCCCAGUAGUCC
This 425-nucleotide ribosomal RNA is filed under the name uncultured bacterium. RNAcentral describes it as "partial 16S ribosomal RNA". It matches the Rfam family "Bacterial small subunit ribosomal RNA", at positions 354 to 796 of the family's 1533-position model. The record is from RNAcentral.